RNAcentral lists this ribosomal RNA (495 nucleotides) under uncultured bacterium. RNAcentral's name for it is "partial 16S ribosomal RNA". It matches the Rfam family "Bacterial small subunit ribosomal RNA", at positions 28 to 507 of the family's 1533-position model. The record is from RNAcentral.
GAUGAACGCUGGCGGCGUGCCUAAUACAUGCAAGUAGAACGCUGAAGGAGGAGCUUGCUCUUCUGGAUGAGUUGCGCACGGGUGAGUAACGCGUAGGUACCCUGCCUGUUAGCGGGGGAUAACUCUUGGAAACGAUAGCUAAUACCGCAUGACAACAGUUAUUGCAUGAUAACUGUUUAAAAGAGGCAACUGCUCCACUACCAAAUGGACCUGCGUUGGAUUAGCUAGUUGGUGAGGUAACGGCUCACCAAGGCGACGAUACAUAGCCGACCUGAGAGGGGGAUCGGCCAAACUGGGAAUGGAGCACGGCCCAGAAUCCCACGGGAGGGAGCAGUAGGGAAACUUCGGGAAUGGAAGGAAGGCUGAACGGGGAACGCCGCGUGAGUGAAGAAGGGUUUCGGGUCGUAAAGAUCUUGUGUAAGAGAAGAAAGAGUGGGAGAGUGGAAAGUGCACACUGUGACGGUAUCUGACCAGAAAGAGACGGCUAACUACGUG